This 500-nucleotide ribosomal RNA is filed under the name uncultured bacterium. Its description in RNAcentral is "partial 16S ribosomal RNA". It matches the Rfam family "Bacterial small subunit ribosomal RNA", at positions 30 to 523 of the family's 1533-position model. The record is from RNAcentral.
AUUGAACGCUGGCGGCAUGCCUUACACAUGCAAGUCGAACGGCAGCACGGGUGCUUGCACCUGGUGGCGAGUGGCGAACGGGUGAGUAAUACAUCGGAACGUACCUUAUCGUGGGGGAUAACGCAGCGAAAGCUGUGCUAAUACCGCAUACGCCCUGAGGGGGAAAGCGGGGGAUCGCAAGACCUCGCGCGAUUAGAGCGGCCGAUGCCUGAUUAGCUUGUCGGUGGGGUAAAAGCCCACCAAGGCGACGAUCAGUAGCUGGUCUGAGAGGACGAUCAGCCACACUGGGACUGGGACACGGCCCAGACUCCUACGGGAGGCAGCAGUGGGGAAUUUUGGACAAUGGGGGCAACCCUGAUCCAGCAAUGCCGCGUGAGUGAAGAAGGCCUUCGGGUUGUAAAGCUCUUUUGUCAGGGAGGAACUUAGCCAUUAAUACUGGCUGAGGAUGACGGUACCUUGAUAAGAAGCACCGGCUAACUACAUGCCAGCAGCCGCCGUAA